UCUGGCAUCGAUGAAGAACGCAGCAAAAUGCGAUAAGUAAUGUGAAUUGCAGAAUUCAGUGAAUCAUCGAAUCUUUGAACGCACAUUGCGCCCGCCAGUAUUCUGGCGGGCAUGCCUGUUCGAGCGUCAUUU
RNAcentral lists this ribosomal RNA (132 nucleotides) under Fusarium oxysporum. Its description in RNAcentral is "5.8S ribosomal RNA". It matches the Rfam family "5.8S ribosomal RNA", at positions 26 to 154 of the family's 154-position model. Rfam says of the family: 5.8S ribosomal RNA (5.8S rRNA) is a component of the large subunit of the eukaryotic ribosome. Lineage: Eukaryota; Fungi; Ascomycota; Sordariomycetes; Hypocreales; Nectriaceae. The record is from RNAcentral.